This is a long non-coding RNA of Plodia interpunctella (Indianmeal moth), 2767 nucleotides long. RefSeq lists it as uncharacterized. The record is from RefSeq and is a predicted model, not a curated record. The transcript is spliced from 3 exons. Lineage: Eukaryota; Metazoa; Arthropoda; Insecta; Lepidoptera; Pyralidae.
CUGUAUAAGUAAAUUUCUCUAAUAGUUUUUAAUCAAAAAUUGUUCGCCCACACGAACGAAGUCGCAGGCAUUAGCUAGUGAUCCAAUAAAUAAUUAAUCUAUCACCUAUCAAAAGUCGCCACAUAUCAUAUCACAUUCGUCUCUUAUAAAACUAAUCGCACAGAAAAUGUUAUCUCUGUCUGUCUGUAAAGUGACAUCAUGUUGCAAUCAAUUUAAUGGAUGGAAGACAAUAGUAUUACUUAGACGGGUUUGAUAGAAAUGUAUCGUUUUCAAUUAGUUUCCCUACAUGCCGCCCAUUUUCAUGGCCGAUGCUAAAUAAAAAUUAAUGGUUUGCUUUUUACUAGCUUUGUUUUAAUUUGUAAUGUUUAUAUGUGUACCUAAAAUUAAUUAAAUCUUCCAAUCCGUUCGGAUGGAUUGAAAGAUUUAAUUAAUUUUGAAGCAAAAUUGAAAAAGCAACCGAUUGAGUUGAAAUAAAAUACACGUUAUACAUUAUUAUGAUCUCAUGGUGCUCCCACGGUCGGUUCCCGAUGAAAGAACUCCUCAAUGUUUAAUGGCACGGUCAUGUUAUACACGUGGCUUUAGUUCCUGAUGAUGGGCCAAGAUCAGCUUACAACGAGGGGACUCCUCAACGGACCUUUACUGCACGGACAUCGUCACGCGUUGAUGAAAUAAGAUCUCUUUAAAAACUAUAAAAGUUCGUCAAAAGCUGCAAGUUUGCUAAUAAAUUACACUCCGUGACAAGUGAGAAGGGUCUGGUGAUGUGCCAAUGAUGGAUAGUGGAACCCUUUGGGUCUUUGAUGGCCACUUAGGUACUGAGGACUUGCGGGAUUUCCUGCGUUUGAUUGACCCUUGGUCAUUCGGUACGUAUACCACGUACCGAAUACACCAAGAACGUAUAUGAACCCAGACUUUGCUGCUCCCAAUCUCGCCCGGAAACAUGAGAGAAUGAGAAACACUGCUGUUUUAUUACUGAAUUAUUAUGAUGUGAAAUGAUAAAUAAAUAAAUAAAUAUAUUAGGACAAAAUACACAGAUUUACAAUUGGAGCUAGUCCCAAAAUAAGUUCUAUAAUUGUGUUAUGGGAUACUAACUCAACGAUACUAUAUUUUAUAACAUAUACAUAUAUAGAUAAACAUCCAAGACCUGGGCCAAUCGGAAAAAGAUCAUUUUCCAUCAUGGUCCGACCGGGGGUCGAACCUGGGACCUCUCGGUUCAGAGGCAAACACUUUACCACUGCGCCACCGAGGCCGUCGAGGUCGAGGAGAUGAUAGUAUAUGAUAUGCUCAUUUAUUUAUUUAUAUUUACAUACCCAUAUUUGGCGAAACAUGUAGGUUUAAGUUACUUUAACACCAAUUCAUAAGUACUAAUGUUUAUGUCAAAUAUUUUGAUAUGAAUUGGUCUACAUGAUACAUUUUAUAUAUACAGUUUUAUUCUAUUUUGUCCUUUAUUCUAUUGUUAGAAACUUUCAAAACAUGUUAAAUAGUUGCCUUCCUAAUACAAGCUCGCUAUAAUUCAUAAAUAUAAUAGAAAAUGUGGAAAAUGAACAGCAUAAACCGAAGCAACGAUAUUGUGAGCAGGGAAUGAACCGGGCAAAUGAGAAGGAAACGGCGGAAUUAAUUUGCCCCGACGUGCUUUGUGAUAGUUGACGCGCUGCGGCGAGUGUGGACAAAUGGCGGCGUAUUGUCACGCUCUUGGAGUAUACUGCGCCAACUUGAGCAUUCAUUUUUCUUUUUACUUGUUCGUGUUAAUAUGGUUGCUUUACGAUUUUUUGUUGUUUAAUGUCUAACAUUUUUUGUUGUUUAACUAUUGCAAGAAGGAUUCAUGGGAUAUGUACGCCGAUGCCUUUCAAGUUACUCUUUACUGUCUUGGUACUGAUAUAUGAUGUUCGGAUGUCUAAAUGACACAAACUGGAUGUCCAAUAUCCCAGGCAAAGAAGAAAUUGUAAUGUUCAAUGUAAUGAAACCAGAUUAUUUAUACAUAAAUUUAUAUAUUCAUUUAGUCAUAAUUUAAAGCAACAACGCAAAUAAACAAGUUAUGUAUUUGGUAUAUAUCUAUAAUAAUGUCAUAGUUGUGGACUUACAAUAAUUAUAUAUUAUCCAUUGUUAUUGGCGAGACGAGACGAUAGAUAGCAAAUAUUGAUUAUUCAGCGUAAUGAAUCAUUAGUGUCGCACAUCACGCACGCGUGUUUCGUUCGUGGUAUUUGUCACGUUGGCGGAGCAAAUAUUUAUCUACUACUCGAACGUGUUCGUGAUGGUUAAUAAUGCGUAUCUGGCUUGGGAAAUAAAUAAUAAAUGGACAAGACUCAACAUAGAAAUGGACACAACAUGGACAGAACUGAAGACAAGAAGCUGUGAUCACAAGAAAAAAUAAUAGAAAUUUAAAGAAAAAUGUAGCCUAUUUUUAAAAUUGGGUCUUUAACUAUAUGCAUAUCGUAUUUAAUCAAAAUUGGUUCAUUGUGAAAGCGUGACAGACAGAUAAGCUUUCGUACUGAUUAUACUUGUAUAAUUCUUCCAGUAUGAAAUGGAUUUGACGUGAUAAAGUCCUAAGUAAUAUGCGCAUUUCCGGCGAAGUUAUGUAUUAUUUUGCGUUAGAUAUAUAUGUUUAAUAAGAUCACAAGUUAUAUAAGAGAUCACCUGGCACCCGUAUCACCAUACAAGCCACAUUUCUAUAAUAAUAUAAUUGGAAAAGUUCGAUCUCACGAGUAAAUAAAACAGUACGUUUGUGAGAACCAGUCCAAUUUAACUUGUGGUCCAAAAAUACUAGACUAUU